UACGGAGGGUGCAAGCGUUAAUCGGAAUUACUGGGCGUAAAGCGCACGCAGGUGGCUGAGUCAGUCGAUUGUGAAAGCCCUGGGCUUAACCUAGGAAUUGCAGUCGAUACUACUCAGCUAGAGUAUGGGAGAGGGCAGUGGAAUUCCCGGUGUAGCGGUGAAAUGCGUAGAUAUCGGGAGGAACAUCAGUGGCGAAGGCGGCUGCCUGGCCCAAUACUGACACUCAGGUGCGACAGCGUGGGGAGCAAACAGG
RNAcentral lists this ribosomal RNA (253 nucleotides) under uncultured bacterium. RNAcentral's name for it is "partial 16S ribosomal RNA". It matches the Rfam family "Bacterial small subunit ribosomal RNA", at positions 524 to 776 of the family's 1533-position model. The record is from RNAcentral.